AGCCCAACAGCUAGCCCCCCUAAAUAAACCCACCUAUCAGAUAUUACUACACCUUAAGAUACUAAACUUAUCAACUAAAACAUUUUUCCCCUUUAGUA
RNAcentral lists this ribosomal RNA (98 nucleotides) under Hyporhamphus sajori (Japanese halfbeak). RNAcentral's name for it is "partial 16S rRNA". The record is from RNAcentral. Lineage: Eukaryota; Metazoa; Chordata; Actinopteri; Beloniformes; Hemiramphidae.